UACGGAGGAUGCAAGCGUUAUCCGGAAUGAUUGGGCGUAAAGCGUCCGCAGGUGGCUAUGUAAGUCUGCUGUUAAAGAGUGAGGCUCAACCUCAUAAGAGCAGUGGAAACUACAUGGCUAGAGUGCGUUCGGGGCAGAGGGAAUUCCUGGUGUAGCGGUGAAAUGCGUAGAGAUCAGGAAGAACACCGGUGGCGAAAGCGCUCUGCUAGGCCGCAACUGACACUGAGGGACGAAAGCUAGGGAAGCGAAUGGG
RNAcentral lists this ribosomal RNA (253 nucleotides) under uncultured bacterium. RNAcentral describes it as "partial 16S ribosomal RNA". It matches the Rfam family "Bacterial small subunit ribosomal RNA", at positions 524 to 776 of the family's 1533-position model. The record is from RNAcentral.